RNAcentral lists this ribosomal RNA (497 nucleotides) under uncultured bacterium. RNAcentral's name for it is "partial 16S ribosomal RNA". It matches the Rfam family "Bacterial small subunit ribosomal RNA", at positions 28 to 507 of the family's 1533-position model. The record is from RNAcentral.
GAUGAACGCUGGCGGCGUGCCUAAUACAUGCAAGUCGAGCGAACGGACGAGGAGCUUGCUUCUCUGAUGUUAGCGGCGGACGGGUGAGUAACACGUGGAUAACCUACCUAUAAGACUGGGAUAACUUCGGGAAACCGGAGCUAAUACCGGAUGAUAUUUUGAACCGCAUGGUUCAAUAGUGAAAGACGGUCUUGCUGUCACUUAUAGAUGGAUCCGCGCUGCAUUAGCUAGUUGGUAAGGUAACGGCUUACCAAGGCAACGAUGCAUAGCCGACCUGAGAGGGUGAUCGGCCACACUGGAACUGAGACACGGUCCAGACUCCUACGGGAGGCAGCAGUAGGGAAUCUUCCGCAAUGGGCGAAAGCCUGACGGAGCAACGCCGCGUGAGUGAUGAAGGUCUUCGGAUCGUAAAACUCUGUUAUUAGGGAAGAACAUAUGUGUAAGUAACUAUGCACAUCUUGACGGUACCUAAUCAGAAAGCCACGGCUAACUACGUG